Molecule: long non-coding RNA, 889 nt
Organism: Bombus pyrosoma
Lineage: Eukaryota; Metazoa; Arthropoda; Insecta; Hymenoptera; Apidae
Exons: 2
Source: RefSeq, a predicted model, not a curated record
UUUUGCUUUAAUUAUUCAAAAUAACAGAAACAAGUCUGAUUUUAUACUUUAAUAUCAGAGUUUCAGUUGUUACAGUAAUUAGAGUUCACUAACAAUUUAACUUUUUUAUUGUUAUUAAGGUUUAAGGUUUUCAUAGAAUUCCAUAUUACGUUAUUUAACAUUUUUUUGCUGAAUCAUUACUUAAGUUUCAGAAUAAAUUAUUCACACAUGUAUUAUUUAUAUAUCUAUAAAAAGACAUAUAUUUUGUUAAAGGUUUAUCACUCCUUCUUCUUCCUCCUGCUUCCUGAAAAGAACCUAGUGGUACUUCAAAAGCCAAGAAUUGUUUUCCAUGAUGGGAUUACAUGACUCCUCCUUGAUAACGGUCUUCACGACGACUUUUCCUGGGCUACCAUAGAUAGCAUCGAUGACUACGUCCCUUGCAUCUUAUCGCAUGAGUCGCAUGCAUUUUUGUCCUUCUUGUCACUCAACCAUGUCGUAGGACGAAAGGUCCGAAUCGACACGGGUGAUUGGUUGUAUUACGUAGAAUUUUUUGCGAGCUCAGUGACCGCGGGUAUUUAUUAUACCCGUAAGUAGUAACAUUUUCUUUUUCUAUGUAUUAUUUAUUAGUUCAGGAUAGAUCUUCUUGCAUAUUGCGUUUUUGUUUAUGUUAUUUACAUGAUAAUGAACUAUUUUAUAUUGACAAUAUUAAUAAUACUACUAACUGAUAAAAAUGAUAUUAUAUUAACAAUUAAUUUGAAUAUUUGUGAUUGAAGACAUGUAUGUUCACUAUAAUCACUUUUAAUGUUGGAGUGUAUUAAAAAUGUAUAUCUACAGAGAGUUUCAAUGAUUUAAUUAAAUAUUUCGUAGUGAUGAAGUCGGAUGCCCUCCGACUUCGUUGCAUUGAAAAUUG